Molecule: long non-coding RNA, 2261 nt
Organism: Equus caballus (horse)
Lineage: Eukaryota; Metazoa; Chordata; Mammalia; Perissodactyla; Equidae
Source: Ensembl
AGAGCAGCUUCUGCGGGAGGAGCCGGGCUCUGGGCGCUGCGAGCCCAGGCAAGACAGCCUUUAGGGCGGGUCCGCCGACCCCCAGGCCCACGGCCACCCACAGCCUCCGCUCGCCCCCUGCCGGCCGAGCCCAGAACGACAGCCCCGCCGGCCUCGGUCUGUGGGCAACACCCCAGAAUCAGCGGGAAGCGACCACCGGUCCCACGGGGAUGAGGACCCGCCUGGACAGCUCACGUGGGACAAGCUGGCUUUGCCGCCUACAUAUCUGACCACUUUAGACAGGGCCUCCUCCCUAGGGAGCCUUCUUGACUCACCUGAGCACAGCUGAUCUCCUGCUUCCUGCUGUGACUGCACUUGAGACGCUUUGGUAUGGUGGCUUCAAGAUUCAGAGGCGAGGUGACUCUGAAGAAUGGAAAUGAGAGGCCGCCGAACAGAGUGAUCAAGAGCACGGCUCUGGAGCCAGGCUGCCUGGGAGCAAGGCUUUCUCUUCCACUCGCCAGCUCUGAGAUCUUAGUUAUGGGUCCUUCUUGCUGUGGCAUGUGGGACGCCACCUCAACGUGGCCUGACGAGUGGUGCCAUGUCCGCACCCAGGAUUCGAGCCAGCAAAACCCGGGCCGCCGAGGCAGAACGUGUGAACUGAACCACUCGGCCAUGGGGCCGGCCCCUUAAUAUUCUUAAUAACAUAGGAAGAAGGGACCCCGCAUUUUCAUUUUGCGCUGGGCCAACAAAUAACGGAGCAGUUCCUGCAAGCAGAUUCCUCUGGUGCAGAAGCCCCUUGCCUUCCUCCUCGUCUGCUCACACUGGUUCCCUUCUCUCAUCCCAGGCGGACCCCCCACCCGGGAGCUUUCCCACAGACUGAGCCUUUGUUUUCCUCCAACAUUUUCAUGAAAAAGUUCAAGCAUAUAGCGAAGUAGAAAGAAUCGUAAACACCUGUACACCUGCCACCUAGGUUCUGCCGUGAAUAUUUCCCGUACCUUCUGCCUUGUGUGUCUAUGGCGAGGCUGUUGCUGUCUUACCUACCCUCAUCCUGGACCCUGUCCUCACCUACUGGCCUCUCGUCUCUUGCUGACGGCUCUAAAGCUUCCAGCCCCGCUGUCUGGACCCAGAAAGGCCUCCCGGGCUGGGGUGGGACGGCGGCCUGCAGGAAGGGGCUCUGCGGCUGCUGGAGGUUCUGGAGAACCUGCUGGGGAAAGGCUGGGACCCAAGUCCCGCCAGACCUGUGGAACCAGGUGCAGAACAGACUAGGAUGUGUUCCAGAAGAGCAAGGAAGGUGCCAUUCUGGAGUGCGUGGACUGAGAUUCCUACUCGUGACCAUAGUCCCUGUUGGUUCCUUUCAUAGUUUCUUAUGCCUCACACAGUCUUCCAAGCGUUUCUCACAAACCUGGUCUGCUGGGCAGACCCCGGUAGCCCUGGGAGGGAGGAGGGAAGAGAUUUUUCUUUCCUCUUCACAGCUGGGGAAACUGAGCCUCAGAAAUUCCUCGCUGACCUGCCCAAGGUCCCGGGGCUCAAAGAGGCGAUCUGGGAACCACACCCAGGUCCUCCGACCCUAAGACCAGGCCUCUUUCUUUUGAUCUCGUCGGGGGAGGGCAACAGUGUCACAUUCCCCUGGGUAACUUGAGAGAAAAAGAAAAAAAACUUUCUCUCUAGGAAAAAAGAGGGUGUCUGGGCUGUGAUUUACCUCUGGGAGCACUUGGGCCAGGAGCGAUCACAUUUCAAAGGGUUAGAACUCAUUUCUUUACUUUUCCAGCUUGGGCCCAGAGCUCAGAACCGGGUGGGCUUCUCCAGGCCCCUCCCAGCAUGCCCACCCCCUCCCAAGUGCCACAGGCAGGUGACACCUGUAUUAUUGCUAAGGGUUAAAAAGCCCCCGAAUCAAUAAAACCCAUUAAUGAGUGUUGGUACCUCGAAGGCUACAGAUAAACCCCUUCUACUCGGUAAGUUCAAUCCCAUAAAACAGCUCUCCUCUUUCGAUCCUGGCAUUCAUUUGAUAGAAAAUGUGCAGAAAUUUUUAAAAGGUGACUUACUAAUUGCCUGUAAAAUAAAAGGCAGAUGGAAGCUUUAUUACAGUUGAAGGAAGUCGGGAAUAUUAAGGUAAAAUGUCAAAUAACAAUUGAUUUUCCUCAGACAUAAAGGGGCGAUUUAUGGCUUCCUAGUUACUACAAAUGAGAAAUUAUUUGAAGUUUUAAAAAGUAUGAGGCGAAAUAAAGAUUAAAUAGAAGAUGAAAUCAUAGGGAUUUCUCUGGGAGGUGACUUCAGUGCCCCUG